GGUCUGAUGGCGUAGUUGGUUAUCGCAUCUGUCUAACACACAGAAGGUCCCCAGUUCGAGCCUGGGUCAGAUCA
This is a non-coding RNA of Suillus paluster, 74 nucleotides long. The record is from the annotation of a RefSeq genome assembly. Lineage: Eukaryota; Fungi; Basidiomycota; Agaricomycetes; Boletales; Suillaceae.